This 236-nucleotide unclassified non-coding RNA is filed under the name fungal sp. Its description in RNAcentral is "partial internal transcribed spacer region". The stretch from base 1 to 46 matches the Rfam family "Eukaryotic small subunit ribosomal RNA", at positions 1786 to 1831 of the family's 1831-position model. The record is from RNAcentral. Lineage: Eukaryota; Fungi.
AAGUCGUAACAAGGUUUCCGUAGGUGAACCUGCGGAAGGAUCAUUAGUGAAUUUUAGCGCGUCUACUUCGGUAGAGCGUGACCUCCACUUUCUAACUCUGUGCACUAUGGCGGAACCCGUGGAAGAGAGUCAAAUCUCGGAAACAGGUUCUGCGGCUCAUUUUAAAACACUAGUUAAAGAAUGUAACGAAAUGUCGAAACAAAAAAAAACUUUCAACAACGGAUCUCUUGGCUCUC